Molecule: unclassified non-coding RNA, 635 nt
Filed under: Hevea brasiliensis (rubber tree)
Lineage: Eukaryota; Viridiplantae; Streptophyta; Magnoliopsida; Malpighiales; Euphorbiaceae
Source: RNAcentral
GCAAAUCCAAGUGUAAGGAAGUAAAAAAUAAAUAAUUAUUGCGAAUAAGUAGAUAAUGGUCAAAAUCUAGUAGUUUUUCCAGCCAAAGGCUUCCCCAAAAAAUAGCCAUGGAUCUUAAUCCUAAAACCUAACUCGAAAACAAAAAUGCACCUGAAAUCAACUGCAACUCAAAAGCAGAAACCAGCACUUCAUAAGGAGUAACAAAAAGAAUCCCAGAUCUGAUUUCAUCAAAUUCCAACCCCAAAAUCCCAACCGAACCAAACCCACUAACAAAACAAUGGUAAAACCAAAUUCAAAAGCCAAACUAAGCAAAACCCAUUCACAUAGACACGCAGGAGUACUUGCCCACAUAAGAAUGUACCAAAAUUGCAGUGAAGAAUCCAAAAACACUAAUCGUUUAAACCCAAAAGUUUGAGAGAAAUGCAGGUUAGAUUAAACCUGAGAGAUCAAUCAGUAACCUCUCGGGUUGGUGAACAGGAUCCUAUGUUUUUGAGUUUUAUCUAUUCUUUCCAUAUUCUAUAUUUGUGUUCUUAUCAGAUUAUAUCUUUUGGGUUUUGGGGUUUUUGGGUUUUUUCUUUAAGCUCUAACAUACCAGAACAAUGACAAGAUGAUUUUGCUUUACUCAUUUCUCAAAU